Molecule: ribosomal RNA, 593 nt
Filed under: uncultured spirochete
Lineage: Bacteria; Pseudomonadati; Spirochaetota; Spirochaetia; Spirochaetales
Description: bacterial SSU rRNA
Rfam family: Bacterial small subunit ribosomal RNA
Source: RNAcentral
GGGGAUAGCCGUUAGAAAUAGCGGGUAAUACCGAAUAUGGUCUAGUUGAAAGAUUAGAAGAAAGGCGCUCUGGCGCCGCCUUAAGAUGGGCCCGCGUCCCAUUAGCUAGUNGGGGGUGUAAAGGACAACCAAGGCGAUGAUGGGUAGCCGGCCUGAGAGGGUGAACGGCCACACUGGGACUGAGAUACGGCCCAGACUCCUACGGGAGGCAGCAGCUAAGAAUAUUCCGCAAUGGACGAAAGUCUGACGGAGCGACGCCGCGUGGAUGAGGAAGGCCGAAAGGUUGUAAAAUCCUUUUGUUGCUGAAGAAUAAGCGGGGGAGGGAAUGCCCCCGUGAUGACACAAGGCGAUGAAUAAGCCCCGGCUAAUUACGUGCCAGCAGCCGCGGUAACACGUAAGGGGCGAGCGUUGUUCGGAAUUAUUGGGCGUAAAGGGCACGUAGGCGGUUUUAUAAGCCUGAUGUGAAAGGCCGGGGCUUAACUCCGGGACUGCGUUAGGAACUGUAGGACUUGAGUCAUGGAGGGGGAGUUGGAAUUCCAGGUGUAGGGGUGAAAUCUGUGGAUAUCUGGAAGAACACCGGUGCGAAGGCGAAC